Molecule: long non-coding RNA, 7309 nt
Filed under: Triticum aestivum (bread wheat)
Lineage: Eukaryota; Viridiplantae; Streptophyta; Magnoliopsida; Poales; Poaceae
Description: long non-coding RNA (TAES_LNC020056)
Source: RNAcentral
GUUUUUCUUUUUUUGAGCUCAAAUGAGUUUCUGUGUUGGUGCAUGAAGUGCUUGCCAAACCAACAACAGCAAACAUAAGUACGUUGUAGUUGGAACAUACUCGAGCCUGUUAAUGAAUCUGUACUGCUAAUGAAUCAACAAACUAAAUCUCGCUAAGAAAUUUCUGGUAAAUUAUCUUGAUUGCUCCAGUCAACCUGCAUUACCGCGAGUAAGAAAUCAUAUGAACGUUAACAGUACACCUUACUAGGAGCGACAAAUUAAGAUUUGACUGAAAGAAUUAUAUGUUGAUAUUACAUAGAUACACACACACCAAUAUUAAGGGGACACAUAUCAAGAUUCUAAACUAAAACUAGCCACACAUUACAGUCUUGCUGACAAUAGAAAGUUUAAGCAUUUUACAUGCAGCUAUCCAGUACAUCCUCCGCCUCAAAAUAAGUGUCUUUGAUUUAAUAUAAUUUUCUUCCGUCCCCAAAUAAGUGUCUUUGAUUUAGUAUAAAAUUGUACUAAAUCAAAGACACUUAUUUUAUCAAAGACACUAAUUUUGAAACGGAGAAAAUACAGUUUAUGAUAACAAAACAAACUAAAAUGACACCCAACCGAUACACAUCACUACCUAGCUAGGAUCAAGCAAAUGAUGCUCGCUGUGUAGUAGCACGGACUCCAGACUCGAGAGCAGACCAGUAUAUAUUCCAUGGCCGGCAAGGGUAUAGCACUAGCUCUCCGAUUCAUUCCCAGGGGAUCUCGACGUUGAGAUCGAAGUCCCUGGGAACACCAUUUGGGUUUCGGGCCGCCGGCAGCACUACCGCAUCUGCUGCCGGAGGCGGCUGGGCUAUGUUGAGAUCAAUCGGGGUUGCGGCCAGAGGCGCCGGGGCUAUGGUGAGAUCAACCGCGGCUGCGGCUACAGGCGCCGGGGCUACGGUCGGCGCCAUGAUGUUGUCAACGGCCGGGGCGACGGCGAGCCCGUCGAGGCGCCGCUGCGCUUCGGCGACCCUGUUGGCCUUGCCGUGGGACGACAUGUGGCCGCCAAGGGAUUGUGGGGUGGGGAACUUCCUGGGGCACUUGGUGCACUGGUACUUUCCCUCCGAGUCCGACACCGGCGGCGGUACACCCCUCACCGGCGGCUGCGAGGAACCUCCCUCCUGGUUAACUGGACCAUGGAGCCACCAGUUCGUUGGAUCCAUGGCGCUGGCACCUUGUGAAGGCGUUGCAGGGAGGAUGCUGGGCAGCCCACGGCACCGUCGUGGUGUGGUGGAAUUGGAUGCUGGGCAAGGUCCUCACCGUCAAGCCGUAUGUAUAGUGCAUCAGGAGGGAGGGAGCCGUUUGUUUGAAGCAGCGAAUUAAAGCUCCAUAUAUCUCUUCCUGGUUUACAGGUUUCUUCUGCUGCUAUAUCUGGGAUACUAUAAUUGGAGAGAUGUAAAUGACCGACUCCAUGGCAAGCAUAUUCUUAAUUCCUUCCUGGACUGGCCACGCCACUACUGAGGGGUAAAACUGAGCAUGCCUAAAAAUUAAGGGCAAAACUGACUAACUGAGUAGUGGGUUCUAGUUAAGGGCAUAGAUGUAAAUGUCCCAUUAACUAAUGGUGGCUGAUCUAAGGUGGUCAAGCCAAGAACACUUAUUUUUCUUCACAAAAUUCCUGUGGAGGUUGAGCUACAUAGAACUCCUUAUCCUCAUUCCUCCAAUAUUGCUCUGAGAUGUGUGCUCUCCAACCAACUUACUAUAUAAAAACUUCUCUUUUUUUCUCUCAAACGAAACAACAUAUGGACUUCAAACUUUGCAAAUCAAACAAACUUUAGGACUCGAAUAUGUGCAAAACGGUCAUGUUUUUUUAUUUGACAUAGAUAUACAAAAUGAGACCCUUUCAUUUUAAAAACAAUUUUAAGCAUUUAAAAUGCAUGAAAAAAUCCGAAAUUUUUCCCGUGGUGUAGAUAGAAUGUUUUGUCUUCCUGGAAAGUUUGAAGUUUAUAUGUUGUUUCGUUUGAGAGAGAAAAAAGACAACUGCAUGGAUCGCAAUGCAGAAACGGAUGGGUAAGAUAAAGGGUACCAGGUAGCUCGACCUACAGUAAACUAUACUCUUAUUUCUUCCAUGGCGACUCAAAAGCUAUGCUUGGCAUUUCCGUGGCUUUUUGUUUUUUUUAUUUGUAGAUAUAAUAAUUGGGCCAGCAAGCUUUUUUUAAGAGUGGUGGUUUUGUUUUGCUAACUAGAACUAGAAGAUUUUCCGAUCUAACUAGAUUGUGUAAUUGAGUACAGUAGCAUAACAAGUGCAAACUGAACCAAAACUCUUGGAUGUGCUCCAAGUGAGUUCUUGUUUCUCUUUUUGUGAGCUCAAGUGAGUUCCUGUAUUGGCGCAUGAAGAGCUUGCCAAACCAACAACAGCAAUAAGUAUGAUGUAGUAGGAACAUAGUCUGGCCUGUAGAUGGAUCUAUACUGCUAAUGAAUCAACAAACUAAAACUCGAUAAGGAAUUUCUAGUAAGACAGCUUGAUUGCUCCCGUCAACCUGCAUUACUGCCAUGGUUUUCACAUUCAGUGACAAUUCGAUGAAAUUCACCGAAUUCCAAUAGACACUAAAAUAAUUACGUUUCGGCCAAAAUAUUUCAGCAAUUCCAGUAGUGCAUAGGAAUUCAAUUAUUUUCCAAAAAUUCAAAAAUUCAAUUGAAAUGCAAACCGAAAUCAUGGAAAUUUCAGUUGGGGCUGAAAUUUGUCUGAAACUCAAAUUGAAAACCAUGAUUACUGCAAGUAAUAAAUCGUACAAACGGUAACAAUACAAGUUAAUAGGAGCUACAAAUUAAGCUCUGACUGAAAGAACUAUAUGUCGGUAUUACUAAAGUUUAAUUACCCACACCCCAAUAUUAAGGGGACGCAUAUCCCAAAUUAUCAAUUCAAAAAGACAUUACGGUCUUGCUAACAAGUGACAAUAGAAUAUUUCAAAAGCAUUUUACAUGCGACUAUCUAGGAGUAAAUGAUAACAAAGCAUACUAAAAUGACACUGUCAACCGAUACACACUACUACCUAGCUAGUGUCAAGCAAAUGAUGCUCUCCGUGUAGUAGCACGGACUCCAGACUCCAAGCAGACCAAUAUAUAUUCCAUGCCUUGCACGGGUAUAGCGCUAGCUCUUCGAUUCAUUCCCAGGGGAUCUCGACGUUGUAGUUGGAACACUGUCUGGCCUGUAAAUGGAUCUGUACUGCUAAUGAAUCAACAAACAAAAACUUGAUAAAAAAAUUCUAGUAAGUCAGCUUGAUUGCUCCUGUCAACCUGCAUCACCACCAUGGUUUUCACUUUCAAUGGGAUUUCGAUGAAAUUCCCAGAAUUUCAGCAGACACCAAAAUAACUACGUUCUGGCCAACAUAUUUCAGCAAUUCUGUAGUGCUCAACAAUUCAAAUAUUUUUUUUUAAAAAAUCAAAUGUUUAAUCGAGGUCGACUGAAUAUUUCGGCCAUUGGGCCAAAAUGCAUUUUUUUACUUCGGUUUUCAAAAAUAUUCAAUGAAUUUCAUUUAUUUCGGUUGGGGGUGAAAUUUUUCUAAAACUGAAAUUGACAACCGUGAUUACCGCUUCAAGUCGUAUGAACUAUAACAAUGCACCUUGCUAGGAACGACAAAUUAAGCUCCGACUGAAAAAACUAUAUGCCGAUAUUACUAAAAUUGAAUUACACACACACACACCAAUAUUAAGGGGAUGCAUAUCCCAAAUUCUCGAUUAAAACUGGCUAGACAUUACAGUCUUUGCUGACAACGAAAUGUUUCAGAAACAUUUUAUAGGCAGCUAUCUAAAGUACUACCUCCAUCCCAAAAUAUAACACGUUUUGGUAGGCUAGUUUAGCCUACCGAAACGUUAUAUAUUUUAGAACGGAGGUACCGCGCUACACCAUCCAUAUCCAGGUGACGUCAGCAACUCCAUCAACACAACUCGUUCGUCCCAUAAGCCUAGUGUCCGCGCGUUUGCACUUUAGGUUUUCUAUUUAAAAAUAAAUAAAUUUGCAGGUCUAGAUGCAAAACAUAAAUAGGUAUAUGUCUGGAAACACCACUUCUCGUUUGACUUGCAGCCCUGAUGUUAUUCACUACAAUCCAAUUUGCACGGGAACCUAGCAGAAAUACAAACUAAUUAAUAUUCUAGUCGGCUCGGUAUACAUAGUCGAAGGAGGCUACUAACUUUUUGAGUCGGUUACUUAGGUAGAAUCGAUGGAGAUUGUAAAUUGUUAAUUCAAGCACAAUUGAGAAGCUAAACGGUUCCUCGUCCAUCUCAAAUGAUAUGAGUAUUCACUUUGGUUGAUUAAAGACGGUAGAUAAAACCGCCUCCAGACCUGUUUUGUACUAGUGAGUAAACAUACACUAGUUAGCAUUUCGCUAAAAACCCAUGUUAGUUUAAGUGUUAUAUGCUAAAAAUACGACAUUACCUUCUAAAGUACACAUGUCGUGAGAAAAGCUUUCCUAUGCUGCAUGUUAUAUAGUGUGCAUAGAUCCACUGUUCAACUUUGAAACAAAAUGAAACAUGACAAUACUCGAUAAAAUUAUGGUUAUACACCUUUUAUUAAAAAUUUGAACUUUGAAAAAUUUGUGUCCAAGCCUAUUCUUAGAUGGUCCUGUUAAUCUGAUUUGUCCAAUCUCUUCGGCAUUUGUGUCUGCUCAUGCAUAUCUUUCAAUAUUUCCCUCGUACCCACUUUCAACGUGUGCUUAUGCUAUGGCCCACCGUUGUCAACUCAUUUAAUGAGUGUCUGCUCAUGUAUAUCUUUCAAUACUUCCUUUGUAUCCUCUUUCAACGCGUGCUCAUGCUAUGGCCCUUUGUUGUCAACUCAUUUAAUGAGCGUCCGCUCAUGUAUAUCUUUCAAAAUUACCGUCGUAUCCUCUUUCAAUUUGUGCUCAUGCUAUGGCUCACCGUUGUCAACUCAUUUAAUGAGCGUUGAUUCGUCAUAUCCCUCCCAGUCCAGGUCGGCAAAUCCCAUUGGACGGUCAUAACAUCCAAUUGUCCACCAAUCGCACAGUGGUAAUGCACUAAGCGACAUAUCUGAUUAGCCAAUGGCUAUCCCUGUUUUGGGAAGCUUCUUCUGUCCGGUUUUUAUUGGUUUCGGGAAUCUUCUCAAAGGCUCCGGUCCAUUUUUUAUUCCUUUACAAUUUUUCCUGGGUUUCUUCGAAUAUGUCCAAUUAUUUUAAAAACUAUUCAGAUUUGUUUUUCAAAUAUUUAUAAUUCCAAAAUAUGUUUGCAUUUAGAACAUUUUCACAAUUUCAAAAACAAAUCACGUUUUUCACUUUUUCAAGAACCGCUCUUUGCUCCGAGUUGUAGUCGCUUGAAAAAUCUCGAAAGAGGACUAGUACCAAAGUAGUGAAUGCUAAAGGAUUACUGUUGGGGUGCCAUCUAGUGGAGGAGGAGCUCAAUUUCUUCAUAUGCUCAUUUGGCCUCUUGCAAUUGGGGAUUUUGAAGAAGGUGCUCAAUUUCUAUUAGGAGGAAUUUGGUCAAUUUGAAUCCCAACUUCAUCUCUACCUAGUCUGUUUUUUGAAAAUGAAUGACAUGCUUUGGUUGUUCAUUAAAAUAGAAAGAUCUUGAGCGUCAGCCGAACCAAACGUCAAGUUCUUCCAUAAUCUUCUGCAUGAGGAUGGAAGAUAUAUCACUUAGGUUAUUGGAAACCCCAUAUUAUGCCUCUUCCAAAUCUUGAACGAGACAAGAAUAAUCAUGGAAACACUAGCUUUUCUAGGUUGCAUUAUAUGCAAUGUGCACACACUUGACGAGCAUAAUUAUUUUGAAACGGAUUGAAGCACCAAUUAAUGAUGUUUGCACACAUGUGAAUCAACACAUGCUCAUGUUGAAGGUAGGCUUACCGCACCCAGACGAUAUCACAUGCGAGCAAAACCCUUUUAGUAAAACGACAAAUCUAUUAAUUGAAGGUGGGUAACUAUGUGGCACUCCUGUUUGCAUGAAAUGUAAACUGUGGAUGCAGUAAGGCCAACCACAAAUUCGAAGGUUGUCCUUCGUCCAUAGGCGAUUCAAGACCUCUAACCAUCCAACCAUUCCAGAACUUCACAAUUUGUAAGAAUGAUUUGCUUUUUUACAUGUCCCACAUGAAGAGUAUCUGCGUAACACGUCAAAUGAACUAUUUCAUGCAUCUCUAACCACACAAAAUCUCCUCAAUAUGGCCCUAAAGUGUUGUGCUUUUGUAGGCGGAAGCGGCCUGCUAAGACACAAGAGUGGUGAAAAGGUCAACAAACUAUUGCUUCGGUACAACCCCUUAAAAGUUCACACGAACCUUAAAGUUGCUGAAAAAGAGUUUUCUCGCACAUUCACGAUGAACAAAUUCGAAUCCAUAUAUUCUGCCAAUGGAUAAAACAAGAGAAAACAGAGCAAUCUAUUUUUUUUGUUGAAGGGGUAACUUCUAAACUCACUAACUAAUGGUGGCUGAUCUGAGGUGGUCAAGCCAACAACACCUAUUUCUUCCGUGGCGACUCAAAAGCUAUUCUUGGCAUUUCGGUGGCUUUUUGUUAAUUAUUUGUAGAGAUAAUAAUUGGUUCUGGAAGUUCUUUUUGCGUAUGUUGGAAGCUUUUUUUAGUAGUGAUGGUUUUCUUUUCCUUACUAGAACUACAAGAUUUUCCAAUCUAACUAGAUUGUGUAGUUGACUACAGUAUCAUAUUAAUUAAUACUUUUUAAGAAGGAGGAUGACCCCCACAUUUGCAUUAGGGCGAUACACGCAGCCAUUUUAUUAAUUAUUCAUCAAGACCUUACGAAAAAGUACAUCAAUAAAUCUGAAUCCAUCAUCUUGACAACAAAUGUCGCUACUCCUAUUAACUUGAUGAAGGGGUGCAAAUUGUCGGGGCCGCAUACCCAGAGCUCACACCAAAGCUCAACAUCUAAAGUCGGAGGCCCCGACCAAGCCGAAUUGCCGGAUCUGGGUUAGAACCAGUCCGGCUCACUCUCAACGGGCAUCGCAUGCGCACGCUGCAGAGGUGGUUGCCAAACUGCAAACUGAACCAAAACUGUUGGAUUCGCUGCAAGUGAGCUCCUGUUUUUCUUUUUUUCAGUUCAAGUGAGUUCCUGUGUUGGUGCAUGAAGUGCUUGCCAAACCAACAACAGCAAACAUAAGUACGUUGUAGUUGGAACAUACUCGGGCCUGUUAAUGAAUCAGUACUGCUAAUGAAUCAACAAACUAAAACUCGAUAAGUAAUUUCUAGUAAAUCAGCUUGAUUGCUCCAGUCAACCUGCAUUACCGCGAGUAAGAAAUCGUAUGAACGUUAACAGUACACCUUACUAGGAGCCACAAAUUAAGAUUUGAGUGAAAGAAUUAUCUAUUGAUAUUACAUACAUACACACACACCAAUAUUAAGGGGAC